GGCUUCUUGUCUAUAUAUAUAAGAAGUCUAACCUGCCCAGUGAUUUAUUUUUAACGGCCGCGGUAUUUUGACCGUGCAAAGGUAGCAUAAUCAUUAGUCUUUUAAAAGGAGGCUGGAAUGAAUGGUUUGACGAGGUGUUUACUGUCUCAUUUAAUUGAGUUGAAUUUAAUUUUUUAGUAAAAACGCUAAAAUUUUUUUGGAAGACGAGAAGACCCUAUAGAGCUUUAUAAAAUAUUAUUUUACUAUUAUUUAGUUUAAAUUAUCUUGUAAAAUUUGAUUUAUUAUGUUGGGGUGACAAAAUUAUACGAUUAACUUUUUUAUUUAUUUUACAUAGAUAGUUGAGUUUUUUGAUCCGAUUUUAUCGAUUACUAGACUAAGUUACCUUAGGGAUAACAGCGUAAUCUUCUUUCAGAGUUCAUAUUUACAAGAAGGCUUGCGACCUCGAUGUUGGAUUAAGAUAAUAGCUAGGUGCAGUAGCUUAGUUUAUAGGUCUGUUCGACCUUUAAUUUCUUACAUGAUCUGAGUUCAAACCGG
RNAcentral lists this ribosomal RNA (534 nucleotides) under Perilestes solutus. RNAcentral describes it as "partial 16S ribosomal RNA". It matches the Rfam family "Bacterial large subunit ribosomal RNA", at positions 1817 to 2619 of the family's 2925-position model. Lineage: Eukaryota; Metazoa; Arthropoda; Insecta; Odonata; Perilestidae. The record is from RNAcentral.